Molecule: long non-coding RNA, 1705 nt
Organism: Trachemys scripta elegans
Lineage: Eukaryota; Metazoa; Chordata; Testudines; Emydidae
Exons: 5
Source: RefSeq, a predicted model, not a curated record
CUGGAUUACGGGAUAAAAAAAAUGCCGCGGCGCAAAGGAGUUUGCAGCCACCUCGCCGUUUCCGGGGAGGGGAUGGUUGGAAAACUAAAAUGAAGAUCCGAGUUUCCAAAAAAGCUCCUGAAAUGUCUCAACAGAGUGACCCUUUCCACCAUAUAACUAACAGGAAUAGAAUAAUUUCCUGCACAGUUCAACCCAAGGAAGAUACUAUACUCAAGCAUUUGGAAUAGAAUAGAAGAAAAUUGACAGAUCUAUCACUGCCAAGGGCUACUGAAUAGCCUAUCCAGCACCACAAUGUAUCAUGAAUUGCUGCUGGCUUUCUUCGAAAAUGGAGAAUUUGCAAGCUGGAAAAGUUUUGGUGCUUAUUCCCAGGCUUUGUAGUACACAGACUGUUGGCCUGUAUUGUGGUAAAGGGAUGGCUGACUCGUGGAAUGUUAAUUGAUUUGAAUAUUUUCUCAAUAAACAUAGGUUUGCUUGCGUUCGUGAUCAAUGUCAAUCUCAUUGUUCUCUCUCUGGGAUGCAUGAUUUGUGUUUUUACUAAGACAUUAAUAAAUAACUUUCAGUUUCAGGGCCAGUGUUCAUAUAAUAAACUUCACUGGUGGCUGGGGCCCAGAAUAAGUGGUGGAACAAAGGCUGGAAAUUACAUACUUAUCACCUCCUUGGAAAAAAAAUUAUUUGCAUCCACACACAAUCAUUUCUGAACACCCAAAAUAAAAUCAAUUGACAGCUGACCAAUUUGGAGCUCUUUCCCCUUCCCCAGUAGCUUCUCUGCUGUGUCAUAGUCCUACACCUGGUCUCCCUUACCCAGUCAGAAAUGCCUAUUAGAAAUUAAGUACCAGUGUACAGUUGCAGUUGGCAGUGGUUGUAUUUCAGGGCUUUACUGAUUAUCUUUUCUCCAGAUGGACAUGAAUUUCCACAGAAGACAUAGCCUAACAGAAUGUAUCAUUUCUGAUAUUUUCUAAUGAGGUGUGGUAGCUUAAUUGAAAGCAAUAGAGAUAUGUCAGUGAAAGUGCUCCAUCUAAGAAAAAUGUGGGAUGUGAGCACAGGAACACAAACACCGUGUAUAGAGGAGAACUUGUGAUUGGAGUAGUUUGGUAAAGUGAACAUUUAAAGCCUUCUUCAUUUGCAUGCUUUAGCACUCUGCUCCAUGUUCUGAUAUUUUGAUAGUAAAUAAAGCUGCAGUAAACCUUCAUAGAGAUGUAACUCUAGAUACAUAGCCUUGUUUUAAAUGUAAAAAGCAAAGAUCUUAAUGCCAUUACCAAAUGAACGUUUCAAACCUAAGAGUUCUUGUGCACAAACUUUAAAAUAUCAUUAAAGGACGAAGAGGUACAAAUGAAUGUCCAUAAUCUAGAGGAGAGUAGUAAUAAUCAGCUUUUAAUGGCAAAGCGUUAAGAAUUUAAAAUUUAUGGCCAGAAAGUACCUUAGGAGAGUUUUCCUGCAUGUGUUAAUGACAAACCUACUGCACGUGAAAACUACAAAAGGACAUUGCCUCUUUAACGGGGACUACUACUUGUGCUCCUUGGAGCUUUGCAGUAUUAGUAAAGCAGCAUGAAAGAGUUGAUUUUCAUUUUAUGUUGUGCUUGUGAGGCAUUAACAUGAUGUUCUAACACUUGUAAAUGAAUACAGCUCUUGCCUAAUCUGUCAUUUUAAUGCCUUAUAGAUUUUAUUUCACUCUGUGUUGUACCAGAUUCUCAAUAAUAAUAAUCAA